GGGGCUGUAGCUCAAUGGCAGAGCACUUGCCUAGCACGUGUGAGGCACUGGAUUCAAUCCUCAGCACCA
This 69-nucleotide transfer RNA is filed under the name Ictidomys tridecemlineatus (thirteen-lined ground squirrel). RNAcentral's name for it is "Spermophilus tridecemlineatus (thirteen-lined ground squirrel) tRNA". It matches the Rfam family "tRNA". From Rfam's summary of the family: Transfer RNA (tRNA) molecules are approximately 80 nucleotides in length. Their secondary structure includes four short double-helical elements and three loops (D, anti-codon, and T loops). Lineage: Eukaryota; Metazoa; Chordata; Mammalia; Rodentia; Sciuridae. The record is from Rfam by way of RNAcentral.